ACAAGUCUUUUGACGCGGGCGGCAACAGCUUUUGUGUCUGCUGUUACGACCCCCGUAGUACAAAGAGCACAAAAGGAGUUUGCCUGAUUGAAAAGAGUGCAAGCACCGCCUCAAAUCAAUUGGAGUCGCUGCAGUUGGUUGCCUGCCGCCGCCGCUAUAUACAGUCAUCCCGACCGAUGAUGGAUCAUCUUUUCUUUCAAACGUACAGAGAGACAAGAGACGCGAGCCCCAAAUCCGUUUCGGUGGCUAUUAUUACAUACAAUAUGUAGACAGUACGAGGCGUUUAAACUGCGUGACGAGUUUGCCGCCUACAAUAAACGCCGACGUCGCCGCCGCCGCCGCCGCCAGCACCAACAUUUCAAUGUUCCCACAAUAUAAUGCGUUACAUUCCA
This is a long non-coding RNA of Daphnia magna, 392 nucleotides long. RefSeq lists it as uncharacterized. The record is from RefSeq and is a predicted model, not a curated record. The transcript has 2 exons. Lineage: Eukaryota; Metazoa; Arthropoda; Branchiopoda; Diplostraca; Daphniidae.